This 700-nucleotide ribosomal RNA is filed under the name uncultured archaeon. Its description in RNAcentral is "bacterial SSU rRNA". It matches the Rfam family "Archaeal small subunit ribosomal RNA", at positions 4 to 712 of the family's 1478-position model. The record is from RNAcentral.
CUGGUUGAUCCUGCCAGACCCGACUGCUAUCAGAGUGGGACUAAGCCAUGCGAGUCAACAUAGCAAUAUGUGGCAUACGGCUCAGUAACACGUAGUCAACAUGCCCAGGGGACGUGGAUAACCUCGGGAAACUGAGGAUAAACCGCGAUAGGUCAUCACUUCUGGAAUGGGUAAUGACUUAAAUCUAUAUGGCCCCUGGAUUGGACUGCGGCCGAUCAGGCUGUUGGUGAGGUAAUGGCCCACCAAACCUGUAACCGGUACGGGCUCUGAGAGGAGGAGCCCGGAGAUGGGCACUGAGACAAGGGCCCAGGCCCUAUGGGGCGCAGCAGGCGCGAAACCUCUGCAAUAGGCGAAAGCUUGACAGGGUUACUCUGAGUGAUUUCCGUUAAGGAGAUCUUUUGGCACCUCUAAAAAUGGUGCAGAAUAAGGGGUGGGCAAGUCUGGUGUCAGCCGCCGCGGUAAUACCAGCACCCCAAGUGGUCGGGACGUUUAUUGGGCCUAAAGCAUCCGUAGCCGGUUCUACAAGUCCUCCGUUAAAUCCACCUGCUUAACAGAUGGGCUGCGGAAGAUACUAUAGAGCUAGGAGGCGGGAGAGGCAAGCGGUACUCGAUGGGUAGGGGUAAAAUCUGUUGAUCCAUUGAAGACCACCAGUGGCGAAGGCGGCUUGCCAGAACGCGCUCGACGGUGAGGGAUGAGAGCU